RNAcentral lists this ribosomal RNA (497 nucleotides) under uncultured bacterium. RNAcentral's name for it is "partial 16S ribosomal RNA". It matches the Rfam family "Bacterial small subunit ribosomal RNA", at positions 28 to 507 of the family's 1533-position model. The record is from RNAcentral.
GAUGAACGCUGGCGGCGUGCCUAAUACAUGCAAGUCGAGCGAACAGACGAGGCGCUUGCUCCUCUGACGUUAGCGGCGGACGGGUGAGUAACACGUGGAUAACCUACCUAUAAGACUGGUAUCACUUCGGGAAACCGGAGCUAAUACCGGAUAAUCUAUUGAACCGCAUGGGUCAAUAGAGAAAGACGGUUUUGCUGUCACUUAUAGCUGGAUCCGCGCCGCAUUAGCUGGUUGGUACGGUAACGGCGUACCAAGGCGACGAUGCGUAGCCGACCUGAGAGAGUGAUAGCCCGCAUGAGAACUGAGACACGGACCAGAGGCCUACGGGAGGGAGCAGUAGGGAAUCGUCCGCAAUGGUCGAAAACUUGACGGAGCAACGCCGAGUGAGAGAUGAAGGCCUUCGGAUCGUAAAACUCUGUUACUAGGGAAAAACAGAUGUGGAAGGAAAUAUGCACGUCUUGACGGUACCGAAUAAGAAAGCCACGGCUAACUACGUG